RNAcentral lists this long non-coding RNA (11402 nucleotides) under Homo sapiens (human). RNAcentral describes it as "non-protein coding DNAJC3-DT:17". Lineage: Eukaryota; Metazoa; Chordata; Mammalia; Primates; Hominidae. The record is from RNAcentral.
GCCCGCCGGUCGCAGAGCUGUCAGCAAGCUCCAAACCGCGGCUGCCGCCCGGAGGGAAGCAGACGGGGAGUCGGUGGCGGCCGCCGAGUCCGCAUGCGCAGGCUGCAAAGGCCCUUUUGGGCCGGUCCCGCCGCGCUAGGUUGGCGAGUGGGACUAUUUGAUCCUUUCCAGGUUCGCCAGCGUGGUGUUACGAGAGGAAAGCGCAGCCGCAGCGUACGAAUGGGAAGGCCAAACACGGUCCCGGGGAGUCUGAGGGAAGCUGCAGGGCGCCUGGAAUUGGGGUCUCGAGUGAGCCGGUAAAAACCGCCUCCCGCUGAGCGUCCCGGAACAAAUACUGUCUGAACUGAGCCGUAAGCAAGAAACGGUCAGGAGAAGCUGGGGCGAUCUGAUGAUUAGAACAUUUCAGGGACUACCAGAGAGAAGUGCGUAAUUGCUCUAAGGCAGGUAGGUAAUUGGCCUGGAAACUUGGGAACGCCCCGCCCCCCACCCCGACUUUCAGCAAACCACCGUGCCCAGGAAAAAGAGCGAUUGUGGAAGACCCUGUGAAGAAGAGACCAGGAAGGCACUGUGGCUUAAGAGAGCAAGGCGUUCCUGAAUGCAGCCAACAUCAACUGGUAAACAAAAAACUGUGAGAACGGAUCCUGAAUCUUGCGCUUACCAGGGGAAAUUCAGGAGAGAUAUGAACCUGAGCAAGAUGAGGUUGAAGUUACUCAAUGCGGCAUUAAGCCUGUUCACGGCCACUUCCUCCGGCGUCACCAACACACACACUGUACACCAGCAGUAUUUUUACACGGGGAAACAUUUCUAGGCUGGGCGCAGUGGCUCACACCUGUAAUGCUAGCGCUUUGGGAAGCCAAGAUGGGAGGAUUAUUUGAGGCCGGGAGUUUGCGACCAGCCUGAGCAACAUAGCAGGAUCCUGUCUCUGCAAAAAAAUUUAAAACUAGCCAGGUGCGGUGGCUCGUGCCUGUUGCCCUAGCUACUCAGGGAGACUGAGGCAGAGGAUUGCUUCAACCCAGGAGUUUGAGGUUGCAGUGAGCUAAGAUCAUGUCACUGCACUCCAGACUGAGCAACAGAGUGACACUUUAUAAAAAAAAAAAAAAAAAAAACUAGGUUUUUGAACUUGCUUAAUCAAAGAAUUUGUUUAAACUUUUAAGAUGCGUUGUCAGAUUAUCUUUCCCUAAAGGAAUAAUUUCUAUUCCUAUCAGCUGUUUAUAUUCCUGCCUAGUCACCAUCACUAGAUAUAAUUGAUUUUCAGUUUUUGCCAAUCUGAGGAACAAAAAAUGACCCUUAUAUGUCAAAUUUACAGUUUAUUUUCAAGGAUUUUGGGAUUCUGAUCAAAUUUUGGUACCUUCAUAUAAAAUUUGGCUUUUAUAUCACAUCUUGUCUUCUCUGCUUUCCACCCUCUUUUAUGUUGUUUUUUGGCUUCUGGCCGCAUGACUAUAAUCUCCGCUUUUGUAUUCACAUCACCUUCUGUCAUUUUUGACCUUGCCUCCGUCUUACAAGGAUCCUUGUAAUUAAUUAUAUUGGGCCUGCUGAGAUAAUCCAGGAUAUUCUUCCUACUCAAGUUCCUCAAUUUAAUCACAUCUGCAAAAACUGCCUUUUGCUAUAGAACAAUGACAGGAGAUUAGAAUGUAAACAUAUUUGGGGGACCGUUAUUCAGCUUAACACAAUACGUCCCCCUUCAUCAGGUGGAGCUUAUUUUCCCUCCUUCCUUGAGUGUGGGCUGGACUUAGUGACUAACUUCCAAAGAACAGAGUAUGGAAAGGGAGGAGGAGAGUAACUUCAUAGUACAGAAACCUGGAAACACUGUCUUGGCCAGGUGGUCAAAGUUAAUAUCAUCAAGUCAUGUUGAUAGCAUAUACUCCCAAUAUACUGUGAUGAGAAGGGCAAUUCACCUCUGUGGUAUUCUCAAAACCUAUAACCCAAUCUAGUCUAAACAUGAAAAAAAAAAAAUCAAACUAAAAUUGAAGGACAUUCUAUAAAACACCUGAUCAGUAUUCCUCAAAACUAUCAACGUCGUGGGGAACAAGGAAAGAUUGAAAUACUGUAACAGACCAGAGGAAACUAAGGAAACUUAAUUGAUGACUGAAUGCAGUGUGCUGUGUUGAACUGGAUCCUAGAGAAAAUAGACAUUAGUGGAAAAACUACUGAAAUAUGAAUAGUCUCAAGUUUAAUAGUAGUGUACCAUUAUUACUUUCUUAGUUUUGACAAAUGUACCAUGGUUAUGCAAGAUGCUAACAAUACAGAAAAAUAAGGGGUAUUUGGGACCUCCCUGUAUUAUCCUUAUGCCCUUACUUGAAAGUUGUUUCAGCAAUAGAAGUUUAUUUAAAAUAUUGUGAAGGGCCUGAGUAUUUUUAAAUCAACUGCAGUGACUCUCUUUUGUGUAUUUGUGUACAGAUGAGUUUUUCUGCAUCGAAUUUUAUCUCCUUUCCUUGCAGAAGAAAGAGAAUUAGCCCUUUACAGAGAUAACAGUUGCCUAAGCCAGCUCUUUUCUCCUCUUUUUGAUGUUCUUCUUUUUCUCUCAGUUUGAAAAUUGUAGGUUAUUUGAGUUUUUAAAAUGUCUAUUGCUACAUACACAUUCUAGUUAUAUUCUAGUCCAAACAAUCUAGUAAAAUAUCUAAAAGAAAAAUGCUGUUCACUGUAUUUUUUAUUUUUAAAAUGUGAGUGAGUGCAUUUAAAUAAUAGGUUGUGUUAUUAUAAUUAUGAGCUAAAAGUUUUGAAGUGUGAUUUAAAGAGUCUUUAACAUUACAAUUCUGGACUACAAAGUGUAAAAAUUGUAUUUUAAAAGAUUCAUGUACUGUUUCCGAUAAAUAGAUGAAUCUUUGAUCACUGGAAUGUGUUAAUACUAAUUUAAAGGCAGCUAUAUAUCUUCUGAUUUUAUAAGAAAUUAACUAAGUACAAUAUUAUAUUUUAUAUACAAUGGGUAAACUCUUCAAAAUUUAAGCUUUCUAAUUUCUAAAUUAAGUGACAUAAUGACAUGUCUUUAAAUAGGUUUGAUCUUAUAAAAUUUUUGUAAUAACACAAAUAUAAGAACUUAUUAUUUUCCAGAUUCUCACAUCUAAAUCCAAACAUAUAAACACAAUUGCAUUAAAUAUAAAUGUUAUAAACACAAUAAUUAAACGACAUAAUCAAAAUGGAUUUUGAAAAUAACAUGAGGAAGACAGAGCAAGAUAGCCAAAUAGAAGCCUCCACCGAUCAUCAUCCCCACAGGAACACCAACUUUGACAACUAUUUACACAAAAAAAGCACCUUCAUAAGAACCAAAAAUCAGGCGAACAAUCACAGUACCUGGUUUUAACUGCAUAUUGCUGACAGAGGCGUUGAAGAGAGUAGGAAAGGCAGUCUUGAAUUGCCAACAUCACCCCUCCCCUAUCCCCUGGCAGUGACUGUGUGGCACUGAGAGAGAAUUUGUACAUUUGUGGAAGGAGAAAGGACAGUAAUUAUGGGCCUUUGCCUUGAAACUUAGUGCUGCCAACACCCAUGGAGGGAGCAUUUAGAUCAGCUUUAGCCAGAGGGGAAUCGUCCGUUCCAGCAGUCAGAACUUCAGUUUUGGCAAACCUCACCACCGUGGGCUAAAGAGCUCUGAGGUUUAAAAUAAACUUGAAAGGUAACCUAGGCCACAAGCACUGCAACUCCUAGGCAAGUCCUCUUGCUGUGCUGGGCUUAGAGCCAAUGGACUUGGGGGCUAUGUGACCUAGUGAGACACUAGGCAGGGUGGCCAAUGCGGCGUGCUUGUAUCACCUCUCCCCCAACUUCAGGCAAUACAGCUAGCAGCUCCAAAAGGGACAACACCACCCCCACCUUCCACUUGAGGAAAGGAGAGGGAAUAGUAAAGACUUGUUUUGCAACUUGGAUACCAGCUCAGCCACAAUAGGAUAGAGUAUUGAGCAGGGUCAUGAGGCCCCCAUUGCAGGCCCUAGCUCCCAGACAACAUACCUAGACAUACCCUGGGCCAGAGGGGAACCCACUAUCUUAAAGGGAAGUACCCAGUCCUGGCAGGAUUCAUCACCUGCUGAUUAAAGGGCCCUUGGGUCCUGAAUAAUCAGCAGCGGUAACCAGGUAAUACAUGCUGUGGGCCUUGGGUGAGACUCUGAGGUAUACUGGCUGCAGGUGUGACCCAGCAUAUUCACAGCUAUGGGUGGCUAUGAGGAAAGACUCCAUCUGUUUAAGAAAAGGAGAGGGAAGAAUAAAGGAGACUUUGUCUUAUAGCUGAGGUGCCAGCUCAACUACAGUGGGGAAGUGAACCAAGUGGGCUCUUCGGGUCCCUGAUUCCAGAGUUGGCUCUUGGAUGGCAUUUCUGGCCCUGGGCCAGAGGGGAGCCCACUGCCCUGAAAGGUGAAUUCCAGGCAUGGCAGCAUUGACCACAAGCUGACUACAAAGCCCUUAGGUCUUAAGUGAACAUCAGCAGAAUCAUGGCAAUACUCCCAGUGUCUUGUGAUGUUGAUGGACAUGGGGAGAGACUCCUCUGCCUGGUGAAAGAGGAGGGAAGACUAGAAAGGACUUCGUCUUAUGGUUUCAGUGCUAGCUUACCCUCAGUAGAAUAGAGCACCGGGUAGAUUUCUAAGGUUUCUGACUCCAGGUUCUGGAGUUACUGCUGCUGACUCCUAAACAGCAUCUCUGAACCCACCCGGGGCUCUGAGGAACUCGCCAUCCUGAAGAGAAAGACAGAAAGCUAGCUGGCUUCACUGCCUGCUAAUUGUAGAGCCCUAGGAACUUCAGCUAACAUAGGUAGUAGCAGGUAGUGGUUACAGUGGGCCUUUGGCAUAACCCAUAGCUGUGCUGGCUUCAGGUCUGACCAUCCACAGUCCCAGUGAUGGUGGCCACGGAGGUACUUGUGUCACCCCUCCCCCGGCUACAGGUAGUGUUGCUGGACGUCAGGGACCCCGAAUGGAGGGACCAGCUGGAGCUGCAGCAGAGGAAUAUAAAUUGUGAAGAUUUCAUGGACAUUUAUCAGUUCCCAAAUAAUACUUUUAUAAUUUCUUAUGCCUGUCUUUAAUCUCUUAAUCCUGUUAUCUUCGUAAACUGAGGAUGUACAUCACCUCAGGACCAUUGUGACAAUUGUGUACAAAUUGAUUGUAAAACGUGUGUUUGAACAAUAUGAAAUCAGUGCACCUUGAAAAAGAACAGAAUAACCACGAUUUUUAGGGAACAAGGGAAGACAACAGUAAGGGCUGACUGCCUGCAGGGUUGGGCAAAAAGAGCCAUAUUUUUCUUCUUGCAGAGAGCCUAUAAAUGGACGUGCAAGUAGGAGAGAUAUCACUAAAUUCUUUUCCUAGCAAAGAAUAUUAAUAUUAAUACCCUGGGAAAGGAAUGCAUUCCUGGGGGAAGGUCUAUAAACGGCCGCUCUGGGAAUGUCUGUCCUAUGCAGUUGAGGUAAGGACUGAGAUACGCCCUGGUCUCCUGCAGUACCCUGAGGCUUACUAGGAUGGGGAAAGACCCAGGCCUGGUAAGACCGGUUCUCUGCUCUCGAACCCUGUUUUCUGUUAUUUAAGAUGUUUAUCAAGACAAUACAUGCACCACUGAACAUAGACCCUUAUCAGUAGUUCUCCUUUUUGCCCUUUGAAGCAUGUGAUCUACUCCCUGUUCUUACACCCCCUCGCCUUUUAAAACACUUAAUAAAAAACUUGACGGUUUGAGGCCCAGCGGGGCAUCACGGUCCUACCAAUAUGUGAUGUCACCCCCAGCAGCCAAGCUGUAAAAUUCCUCUCUUUGUAAUCUUUCUCUAUUUCUCAGCUGGCCGACACUUAGGGAAAAUAGAAAGAACCUACAUUGAAAUAUUGGGGGCGGUUCCCCCGAUAAGGUAGCUCAACAGAGAGAGAUAGAGAGAGAGAGACAGACUGAUUCUGUUUGGGCAAAAACAAGGAAAAAGAACAAGAGUCUCUGCCCAGUAAUCCAGAUAAUUCUUUCGGGUAUUAUCCAAGACCACCAAAGCAGUACCUCUAUGUGUAUGAAAGAACUACAAUAUUACUGCAUUUAGGGGCCCACUAAUGCAGAUAUGGCUGCAGUGACCAAAAACUUAGAUCACAACAUCCAAGCCCAUUUGAAUACCUGGAAUGCCUUCCCAAGAAGGAUGACUACAAACAAGCCCUACUGUGAAGACUACAAUAAAUACCUAACUCUUCAAUGCCCAGACACCAACAAACAUCCACAAGCACCAAGUCAUCCAGGAAAGCAUGACCUCAGCAAACAAACUAAACAAGGUACCAGGGGCGAAUCCCAGAGAGACAGAGAUAUGUUACCUUUCAGACAGAGAAUUCAAAAUAGCUGUUUGGAGGAAACUCAAAGAAAUACAAGAUAAUGGAGAGAAGGAACUUAGAAUCCUAUCACAUAAAUUUAACAACGAAAUUGAAAUAAGUGAAAAGCAGAAAUUCUGGAGUUGAAAAAUGCAAUCAACAUACUGAAGGCAUCAGAGUCUCUUAAUAGCAGAAUUGAUCAAGCAGAAGAAAAUAAUAGCUUGAAGACAGGCUGUUUGAAAAUAUACACUCAGAAGAGACAAAAGAAAAAAAGAAUAAAAAAGAAUGAAGCACACCUACAGGAUCUAGAUAAUAGUUUCAAGGGGGAAAAUCUAAGAGUUAUUGGCCCUAAAGAGAUGGUGGUGGGGGGCGGGUAGAAAGUUUGUUCAAAGGGAUAAAAACAGAGAACUUCCCAAAACCUCCCAAACCUAGACAAAAAUAUCAAUACUCAAGUAUAAAAAGAUUAUAGAUCACCAAGCAGAUUUAACCCAAAGACUACCUCAAGGCAUUUAACAGUCAAACUCCCAAUGGUCAAGGAUAAACAAAGGAUCCUAAAAACAGCAAGGGAAAAGAAACAAAUAACAUACAAUGGAGCUUUAAUAUGUCUGGCAGCAGAUUUCUCAGUGGAAACCUUACAGGCAAGGAGAGAGUGGCAUGACACAUUUAAAGUGCUAAAGGAAAAAAAAUGACCUUAGAAUAAUAUAUCCAGUGAAACUAUCCUUGAACCAUGAGGAGAAAUAAAGACUUUCCUGGGAAAAUAAAAUCCAUGGGAUUUCAUGAACACCAUACCAGUCCUACAAGAAAUGCUAAAGGGGGUACUUUAAUCAGAAAGAAAAUGAUGUUGAUGAGCAAAAGAAAUCAUCUGAAGGUACAAAACUCACUGGUAAUAGUAAGUACACAGAAAAACACAGACUAUUAUAAUACUGUAACUGGCAUGUGUAAACUACUCAAGUAGAAAGACUAAAUGAUGAACCAAUAAAAAUAAUGACUACAACAACUUUUCAAGACAUAGUACAGUAAGAUAUAAAUAGAAACAACAAAAAGUUAAAAAGCUGGGGGAUGAAGUUAAGGUGUAGAGUUUUUAUUAGUUUUUGCCUAAAUGUUUGUUUAUGUAAACAGUGUUAUUAUCAGCUUAAAGUAAUGGGUUAUAAGAUAGUAGUUACAAGCCUCAUAGUAACCUCAAAUCAAAAAGCAUAUAACAGAUAUACAAAAAAUAAGCAAGAAAUUAAACCUGCCACCAGAGGAAAUUAUCUUCACUGAAAGAAAGAAAGGAAGGAAAGAAAGGAGGAAUAAAAGGCCACAAAACAACCAGGAAACAAAUAAAAUGGCAGGAGUAAGUUAUUGCAUAUCAAUAAUAACACUGAAUGUGAAUGGACUAAACUCUUCAAUCAAAAGGUAUUGAGUGGCUGAAUGGAUUAAAAAAAAUAAAAACAAGACACAAUGAUCUGUUGCCUACAAGAAAAACACUUCACCUAUAAAGCCACAUAUAGACUGAAAAUAAAGGGAUGGAAAAAGAUAUUUCAUGCAAAUGAAAACCAAAAAAGAGCAGGAAUUGCAUUACUUAUAUCAGAUAAAAUAGAUCUGAAGACAAAAGCCAUAAGAGACAAAGAAGGUCACUAUAUAAUGAUAAAGGAGUCAAUUCAGCAAGAAGAUAUAACACUUGUAAAUAUGCAUGCACCUAACACUGGAGGACCCAGAUGUAUAAAGCAAAUAUUAUUGGAGCUAAGGAGAGAGACAGACCCCAAUACAAUAAUAGCUGGAGACUUCAACACCUCACUUUCAGCACUGGACAGAUCUUCCACACAGAAAAUCAACAAAGAUAUAUCAGACUUAAUCUGCAUCAUAGACCAAAUAAAUGGUCCUAAUAGAUACUUACAGAACAUUUCAUCCAGUGGCUGCAGAAUACACAUUCUAUUCCUCAGCACAUGGAUCAUUCUCAAGGAUAGACCAUAAGUUAGGUAUAAAACAAGUCUUAAAACAUUCAAAAAAUUGAAAUCAUAUCAAGCAUUUUCUCUGACCACAAUGGAAUAAAAUUAGAAAUCAAUAAUGAGGAAUUUUGGAAGCUAUACAAACACAUGGAAGUUAAACAAUAUGCUCCUGAAUGACCAGUGGGUCAAUGAAGAGAUUAAGAAGAACACUGAAAAUUUUCUUGAAACAGACAAUAAUGAAAACACAACAUAUUAAAACCUAUGGGGUACAGUGAUACUAAGAAGGAAGUGUAUAGCUAUAAGUACCUAUAUCAGAAAAGAAGAAAAGCUUCAAAUAAACCAACGUAACAAUGCAUCUUCAAGAACUGGAGCAGUAAGAGCAAACUGAACCCAAAGUUAGUAGAAGAAAUAAUAAAUAUUAGAGCAGAAAUAAAUUGAAAUGAAGAAAGCAACACAAAAUAUCAACAAAAUGAAAAGUUAGUUUCUUUGAAAAGAUAAAAUUGACAAACCUUUAGCCAGACUAGGAAAAAAGGAGCAAAGACCCAAAUAAAUAAAACCAGAGAUGAAACAGGAGAUGUUAUAAGCAUAUACUGGGGAAAUUCAAAGGAUCAUUAGAGGGUACCAUGAACAACUAUGUGCCAAUAAAUUAGAAAACCUAAAAGAAAUGAAAUUUCUACACACAUACAACCUACCAAGAUUGAACCAUGAAGAAAACUAAAACCUGAACAGACCAAUAAUAAGUUACAAGAUCAAAGCCACAAUAAAAAGCCUCCCAGCCAAGAAAAGCCUGGGGCCUGAUGACUUGACUGCUGAAUUCUAUCAAACAUGAAAAGAAGAACUAAUACCAAUCCUAGUCAAACUGUUUCAAAAAAUAGAAGAGGAGGGAAUAUUUUCAAACUCAUUCUGCAAGGCUAGUAUUACCCUGAUACCAAAGCCAGACAAAAACACAUUAAAAAAAGAAAACCACAGGCCAAUAUCUCUGAUUAGUUUCAAUGCAAAAAUCCUCCACAAAAUACUGGCAAACUGAAUUCAACAAUACAUUAUAAAGAUCAUUCAUCAUGACCAAGUGGGAUUUAUCCCAGGGAUGCAAGGAUGGUUCAACAUAUGCAAAUCAAUGAGUGUGAUACAGCAUAUCAACAGAAUAAAGGACAAAAACCAUAUGAUCAUUUCAAUGGAUGCUGAAAAAGCAUUUUAUAAAGUUCGACAUCCCUUCAUGAUAAAAACCCUCAAAAUACUAAGUAUAGAAGGAACAUAGCUCAAAAUAAUAAAAGCCAUAUGACAGACCCAAACUAGUAUCAUACUGAAUGUGGAAAUACUGAAAGCCUUUCCUCUAAGAACUGGAACACAAGGAUGCCCACCAUUAUUCAACAUACUACUGAAAGUUCUAGCUACAGUAAUCAGACAAGAGAAAGAAAGAAAGGGCAUCCAAACUGGAAAAGAAGUGAAAUUAUCCUUGUUUUCAGAUGAUAUCCUAUAUUUUAAAAAACCUAAGGACUCCACCAAAAAACCAUUAGAAUUGAUAAAUUCAGUAAAGUAGCAGAAUAUAAAAUCAACAUACAAAAAUAAGUAGCAUUUCUAAAUGCCAAUAGCAAACAAUCUGAAAAAGAAAUUUUAAAAAAUCUCAUUUACAAUAGCCACAAACAAAAUUAAAUACCUAGGAAUUAGAAGUCAAAGAUCUCUACAAUAAAAACUAUGAAACACUGAUGAAAUAAAUUGAAGAGGAGACACAAAAAAUGAAAAGAUAUUUCAUGUUCAUGGACUGGAAAAAUCAAUAUUGUAAAAAUGUCCAUACUACCCAAAGCAAUUUGCAGAUUCAGUGCAAUCUGUAUCAAAAUACCAAUGACAUCCUUCACAGAAAUAGAAAAAAAAAAUCUAAGAUUUAUAUGGAAUCACAAAGGAACAGAAUAGCCAAAGCUAUCCUAAGCAAAAACAAUGACACUGGAGGAAUCACAUUACCUGACUUCAAAUUAUACUACAGAGCUAUAGGAACCAAAAGAGCAGGGCAUUGGCAUAAAAACACGACGCCUAGACCAAUGGAACAGAAUAGAGAGGCCAGAAACAAAUCCACGCAUGUAUAGUGAACUCGUUUUUGACAAAAGUGCCAAGAACUUACACUGGGGAAAAGACAAUCUCUUCAAUAAAUGAUGCUGAGAAAACCAGAUAUCCUUUGCAGAAGAAUGAAACUUGACUAUUAUCUCUUGCCUUAUAAAAAAACCAAAUAAAAAUGGAUUAAAUACUUAAAUGUAAGACCUUAAACUAUUAAACUACUACAAGAAAACACAGGGGAAACUCUUCAGGACACUGAUCUGGGCAAAAAUUUAUUAAGUAAUACCCUACAAGCACAGGCAACCAAAACAACAAUGGACAAAUUGGAUCAUAUCAAGUUAAAAAAAACUUAUGCACAGCAGAGGAAACAAUCAACAAAGUGAAGAUACAACCACAGAAUGGGAGAAAAUAUUUACAAACUAUUCAUCUGACAAGGAAUUAAAAACCAGAAUAUAUAAGGAGCUACUCAAUAGGGAAAAAUCUAAUAAUCCAAUUUAAAAAUGGGCAGAAGAUUUGAAUAGACAUUUCUCAAAAGAAGACAUACAAAUGGCAAACAGGCAUAUGAAAAUGUGCUCAACAGCACUGAAUAUCAGAGAAAUGCAAAUCAAAACUACAAUGAUAUAUCAUCUCAUCCCAGUUAAAAUGGCUUUUACCCAAAAGUCAGGCAAUAAUAAAUGCCGGCAAGGAUGUAAAGAAAAGGGGACCCUCCUACACUGUUGGUGGGAAUGUAAAUUAGUACAACCACUACCGAGAACUGUGCAUACAAUGGAUCUAGGUUGUACACUACUUAUGAAAAUCUAAUUAAUGCCUGAUGAUCUGAGGUGGAACGGUUUCAUCCCCAAACCAUGCCCUCCCCUUGGAAAAAUUGUCUUCCACGAAACUGAUUCCUGGUGCCAAAAAGGUUGGAGACCUAAAUCACAAAUGCAAAGUCUUUGAAAUAGAAACAAACUUAAGUGUGGUUUAGGAAUAGAGUUUUACAAUGUAAUCUGGGGACAGUUGUGUAACAUGAUGUCAGGAGGUAGGCAGCAACCAGAUCGUGUAGUGCCUUUAAAGCUGUUAAAAGGGGGUUUUAAUCUUAUUCUAUUGAAAAUGGGAAGCCACCAGAGAGUUUUAAGCAAAGGGCUAACAGAUUUAGGGUUGUUUUUUUUUUCCUUUUUUUCCUAACAAAGAAAACUGCAGGCCCAGUUUAUUGCAA